This 478-nucleotide ribosomal RNA is filed under the name uncultured bacterium. Its description in RNAcentral is "partial 16S ribosomal RNA". It matches the Rfam family "Bacterial small subunit ribosomal RNA", at positions 28 to 523 of the family's 1533-position model. The record is from RNAcentral.
GACGAACGCUGGCGGCGUGCUUAACACAUGCAAGUCGAACGGUAAGGCCCUUCGGGGUACACGAGUGGCGAACGGGUGAGUAACACGUGGGUGAUCUGCCCUGCACUUCGGGAUAAGCCUGGGAAACUGGGUCUAAUACCGGAUAGGACCACUGCCUGCAUGGGUGGUGGUGGAAAGCUUUUGCGGUGUGGGAUGGGCCCGCGGCCUAUCAGCUUGUUGGUGGGGUGAUGGCCUACCAAGGCGACGACGGGUAGCCGGCCUGAGAGGGUGACCGGCCACACUGGGACUGAGAUACGGCCCAGACUCCUACGGGAGGCAGCAGUGGGGAAUAUUGCACAAUGGGCGCAAGCCUGAUGCAGCGACGCCGCGUGAGGGAUGACGGCCUUCGGGUUGUAAACCUCUUUCAGCAUCGACGAAGCGCAAGUGACGGUAGGUGCAGAAGGAGGACCGGCCAACUACGUGCCAGCAGCCGCAGUAA